UUGGAGGGCAAGUCUGGUGCCAGCAGCCGCGGUAAUUCCAGCUCCAAUAGCGUAUAUUAAAGUUGUUGCAGUUAAAAAGCUCGUAGUUGAAUUUCGGGAGCCGCGGGUCGGUUGGGCUUAACUGUCCAUCACUGGCUCCGCGGGUCUCUUACCUUCUGGCGAGGUCAGAUGUCAUUUAUUUGGUGUCUGGCGGAACCAGGACCAUUACCUUGAAAAAAUUAGAGUGUUUAAAGCAGGCUUUAUCGUCUGAAUACAUUAGCAUGGAAUAAUAAAAUAGGACGGCUAAGGGUUCUAUUUUGUUGAUUUCUAGGACCACCGUAAUGAUUAAUAGGGAUAGUUGGGGGCAUUAGUAUUCAAUUGUCAGAGGUGAAAUUCUUGGAUUUAUUGAAGACUAACUACUGCGAGAGCAUUUGCCAAGGAUGUUUUCAUUAAUCAAGAACGAAAGUUAGGGGAUCGAAGACGAUCAGAUACCGUCGUAGUCUUAACCAUAAACUAUGCCGACUAGG
Molecule: ribosomal RNA, 506 nt
Filed under: uncultured Glomeromycotina
Lineage: Eukaryota; Fungi; Glomeromycota
Description: bacterial SSU rRNA
Rfam family: Eukaryotic small subunit ribosomal RNA
Source: RNAcentral